ACCGAGUGAGGGCCCUCUGGGUCCAACCUCCCACCCGUGUUUAACGAACCUUGUUGCUUCGGCGGGCCCGCCUCACGGCCGCCGGGGGGCAUCCGCCCCCGGGCCCGCGCCCGCCGAAGACACCUGUGAACACUGUCUGAAGUUGCAGUCUGAGAAACUAGCUAAAUUAGUUAAAACUUUCAACAACGGAUCUCUUGGUUCCGGCAUCGAUGAAGAACGCAGCGAAAUGCGAUAAAUAAUGUGAAUUGCAGAAUUCAGUGAAUCAUCGAGUCUUUGAACGCACAUUGCGCCCUCUGGUAUUCCGGAGGGCAUGCCUGUCCGAGCGUCAUUGCUGCCCUCAAGCACGGCUUGUGUGUUGGGCCCUCGUCCCCCCCACCGGGGGGACGGGCCCGAAAGGCAGCGGCGGCACCGCGUCCGGUCCUCGAGCGUAUGGGGCUCUGUCACCCGCUCUUGUAGGCCCGGCCGGCGCCAGCCGACCCCCCUCAAUCUA
RNAcentral lists this unclassified non-coding RNA (490 nucleotides) under Penicillium sp. 6 DT-2020. Its description in RNAcentral is "sequence contains ITS1, 5.8S rRNA gene, ITS2". The stretch from base 175 to 328 matches the Rfam family "5.8S ribosomal RNA". Lineage: Eukaryota; Fungi; Ascomycota; Eurotiomycetes; Eurotiales; Aspergillaceae. The record is from RNAcentral.